Molecule: small nuclear RNA, 105 nt
Organism: Danaus plexippus (monarch butterfly)
Lineage: Eukaryota; Metazoa; Arthropoda; Insecta; Lepidoptera; Nymphalidae
Source: RefSeq, a predicted model, not a curated record
CUACUGAUUCGGUAGUAGAUACACUAAAAAUGGAAGAUACAUAGAAGACUAGCGCGGCCCCUAGACUAGGAUGAUCCAAAAAAUUGUGAUGCUUAAAUACGCAAA